CUGGGCGCAGGGCCCGCCCUUGGGGAGCGGCCGCGGCGGGCGGGGCGGGGCCUGCGGAAGCACCUGGGCGGCGCGGCGGGGCUCGGCCUCUCUCGGCGCCCGCAGACAUGAGGCGCCGCCGUAGCGCGGGGCCGGGCCGGCCACCAUGAGGGCUUCCAGCCGACGCGCGGCUCAGGCCGGCGCGGGGGGCAGGGAGGCGCUGCCCGCAGGUGAGGGCCCCUCACCCUGGCGUGGUUCGUGACAAACCCCGAGUGUUGCAGGCGGAACCGGCCAAAUGAGGCGCCUUCUUGAGCAGGCGGCCGCUCCGCUGGCAUGGCCUGAUCCUGCGGGGAGGAGGUGCAAAGGGAUGAGCUGCACUUGGGCGCAGGCAGAGCCCAGGGGCCUUUCCAGCUACGGGGGUGAGGUCUCUCCAGGAGCCGAUGAGGGGAGACAGGCAAAAAGGCUGUUCGUUCUGCCACGCUAACUAAAAUAAACGGCCUCUGCAGGCCUGUAAAUGGGCUGCGGUGCCAGCCUCUGGUGCUCUGGGUGGAAAUAAUAACCUGGUUUAUCUAGCAAAGCACGCAGUGCUGGAAGCCGCUCUCCUGAUGCGAGGCGUUAGCAGUGAGGCCUGCAACGCUGGAGGGGCGGAUGGGCCUCUGCUUCCUUCUGUCCUUUAAAAACUCAACGUUGAGUUCUGUUUCAUCCAGCGGUAGUCAGCUACCCAUUGCUGCUCAGUGCCGGGGAUAGUGUUAUGCUGCUGGGAGAGAAACAGGCUGCCGAGCCGCGCCUGGCACCGCCUGCGCUGUUCUGGUGCUGGAUGGUGCCAGGCUUUGGCAGCACGCUGCAUGCUCGAGAGUGGAGUAACUCUUUCUCGGUGGAGUUAGUCCUAGAUUGGAUGCAGACAAUGCACAGUCAGAAAAUGUAAAAAAAAAAAAAAAAACAAACACUCUGUUGCGGAUGUACUGUUUAAUAUUGUCUCCUUUAUAUAAAAAUGAAAGUCAGCUAACUAACUGGUCAGUGUUAAGUGUUGAAUUUGGGGUCUUUAGAGAUACUCCUGUUAACUGUAUGUUUUUUAAUUACAGGCAAAUGGUUUGCAUGUUUCACUGCAGGUGGGGGCUUGCUGGAGUAGCAGUAGUUGUCAGAAGAAAUAAGCUGUUGGUGCUGCUUUGAAGAUUCCCAUUUUAAAGAGAUGGAGAAGAUAGAAACUUAGAGUCCACAAUUUAAAGGCAUCUACUAGAGAAGUACUUUCUUUCAGCACCUGGAUGUAGUAACUUGAAACACCAAAGGUGGUUGGGGACAAGGUAUAACAAGAAUUAAAUUUACAAUUUGUUAACUUAAUCCCCUCUCUCUGCUUGUUUAAAAUUAUAUUUUUAUGUGACCUAUUUAUUAAACUUGUUUAUAUUUAAA
Molecule: long non-coding RNA, 1386 nt
Organism: Falco peregrinus (peregrine falcon)
Lineage: Eukaryota; Metazoa; Chordata; Aves; Falconiformes; Falconidae
Exons: 2
Source: RefSeq, a predicted model, not a curated record